ACGGGUGAGUAAAGUAUCGGAACGUGCCCAGUCGUGGGGGAUAACGUAGCGAAAGUUACGCUAAUACCGCAUACGAUCUAUGGAUGAAAGCGGGGGAUCGCAAGACCUCGCGCGAUUGGAGCGGCCGAUAUCAGAUUAGGUAGUUGGUGGGGUAAAGGCUCACCAAGCCGACGAUCUGUAGCUGGUCUGAGAGGACGACCAGCCACACUGGGACUGAGACACGGCCCAGACUCCUACGGGAGGCAGCAGUGGGGAAUUUUGGACAAUGGGCGCAAGCCUGAUCCAGCCAUGCCGCGUGCAGGAUGAAGGCCUUCGGGUUGUAAACUGCUUUUGUACGGAACGAAAAGGUUUGGCCUAAUAAGCUGAGCUCAUGACGGUACCGUAAGAAUAAGCACCGGCUAACUACGUGCCAGCAGCCGCGGUGAUACGUAGGGUGCGAGCGUUGUCCGGAUUUAUUGGGCGUAAAGGGCUCGUAGGUGGUUGAUCGCGUCGGAAGUGUAAUCUUGGGGCUUAACCCUGAGCGUGCUUUCGAUACGGGUUGACUUGAGGAAGGUAGGGGAGAAUGGAAUUCCUGGUGGAGCGAUGGAAUGCGCAGAUAUCCGGAGGAACACCAGUGGCGCGAAGGCGGUUCUCUGGGCCUUUCCUGACGCUGAGGAGCGAAAGCGUGGGGAGCGAACAGGCUUAGAUACCCUGGUAGUCCACGCUGUAAACGGUGGGUACUAGGUGUGGGGUCCAUUCCACGGGUUCCGUGCCGUAGCUAACGCUUUAAGAACCCCGCCUGGGGAGUACGGCCGCAAGGCUAAAACUCAAAGGAAUUGACGGGGCCCCGCACAAGCGGCGGAGCAUGCGGAUUAAUUCGAUGCAACGCGUAGAACCUUACCUGGGUUUGACAUGGAUCGGGAGUGCUCAGAGAUGGGUGUGCCUCUUUUGGGGUCGGUUCACAGGUGGUGCAUGGCUGUCGUCAGCUCGUGUCGUGAGAUGUUGGGUCAAGUCCCGCAACGAGCGCAACCCUUGUUCACUGUUGCCAGCACGUUACGGUGGGACUCAGUGGAGACCGCCGGGGUCAACUCGGAGGAAGGUGGGGAUGACGUCAAGUCAUCAUGCCCCUUAUGUCCAGGGCUUCACGCAUGCUACAAUGGCUGGUACAGAGAGUGGCGAGCCUGUGAGGGUGAGCG
Molecule: ribosomal RNA, 1175 nt
Filed under: uncultured Actinomycetes bacterium
Lineage: Bacteria; Bacillati; Actinomycetota; Actinomycetes
Description: bacterial SSU rRNA
Rfam family: Bacterial small subunit ribosomal RNA
Source: RNAcentral